Molecule: long non-coding RNA, 2617 nt
Organism: Oncorhynchus tshawytscha (Chinook salmon)
Lineage: Eukaryota; Metazoa; Chordata; Actinopteri; Salmoniformes; Salmonidae
Source: Ensembl
CCUGUCAACACUGGGUAAGGAAGAGAAACAUUUGCUAUGACACGGAGAAACCAAAGACGGUGAUGGCAUGCAAAUACUGCUAGACGCCACUGAGCGGUUGUCCUCUAGAGAGCCAUUCUGGACAAUAGGGACCUGCAGUGUCUCAGGUAUCUGCUGUGUCUCAGGACUACAUUGGUUACAUUGACCUCUGAUAAAGAUCUGGCUCAGUGGAUGUGGUCUCUCCCAUCCUCCCUCCCUGCCUGUCAGCCUAGCAGAGAGCAGUCUGGCAACACGUGCUGAGACACUGAAAUUGUUCAGAGUGACCGCUGGGAUGAAGUGAUGUACUGUGGCUGUUAUAACUUUUUAUUCAACCUUUAACCAGGCCUUUUGUUAGAUGUCUCUGGGUGCUUUAGUCCAGGCUUUUCCAUACCACUGCCUCUCUACUGCUGAUGGAAGGGAUUGGUCAUGUUCAUUUAUACAACAGAUCACUCUUCGGUUAAUAUCUCUCCUCACCAUGAUGACCUACAAUGCGUACUGUAGGACAAGCACCAACAAUCCAUCCACUCUGAGUGAUACAAAAGCAGCAGGGGACUGAGAGGCACCCGAUCCUGCCCUGAAUAGGUUGUCUUCAGGUAUUUAUACUGACCCUCUGACCACUACCUGCUCUGCUCUGCUUGGUCAAAUCCGAAAUGAUGUCUGGAAUGUAUCUUCUGAGAAUAUCAAUAAAUAAGAAGCCAGCUGUAAUGUAUAGUGUAACCUGUACUUCAAAUAGGAGUUGUUUCCUCAAAACUGUCUCUAUAUAUUUUUCUUCCGAUAUGACUGUUCAUAUCUAAGACAUUCUUUUGUGUAUUGGAAAGAGGUGUGUAGAAUUAAGAGGUGUAGGAGGAAGGUGUGUAUAGGAGAGAAGUGUGCAGCCUAUAGAGACAGAGGUAUAGGAGAGACAUAGCUGGGCCUGGCUACUGCGGAGCCAGGCCCAGCCAAUCAGAAUUAGUUUUAACCCAACAAAAGGGCUUUAUUACAAACAUAAAUGCUCCUCAGUUUCAUCAGCUGUCGGGUGGCUGGUCUCAGACAACCCCGCAUGUGAAGAAGCUGGAUGUGGAGGUCCUGGGCAGGCUUGGUUACAGGUGGUCUGCGGUUGUGAGGCCGGUUGGACGUACUGCUAAAUUCUCUAAAACGACAUUGGAGGCCACUUAAGGUAGAGAAAUUGACAUUCAAUUCUCUGGUUUCAAGUUUCAAGAGAGUUUCAAGUUCCUUGAUGUCCACAUCACCAACGAUAUAUCAUGGUCCAAACACACUAAGACAUUCGAGAAGAGGGCACAACAAAACCUUUUCCCCCUCAGGAAACUGAAAAGAUUAGGCAUGGGUCCCCAGAUCCUCAAAAGGUUCUACAGCUGCACCAUCGAGCACAUCCUGACAGGUUACAGGUCAUCCUGGUAUGGCAACUGUUCGGCAUCUGACCGUAAGACGCUAUAGUGGGUAGUGCGUACGGCCCAGUACAUCACUGGGGCCAAGCUUCCUGCAAUCCAGGACCUGUAUAAUAAGCGGUCAGAGGAAAACCCAUAAGAUUGUCAGAGACUCCAGUCACCCAAGUCAUAGACUGUUUUCUCUACUACCGCACAGCAAGGAGUACCGGAGUGCCAAGUCUAGGACCAAAAGGCUCCUUAACAGCUUCUACCCCCAAGCCAUAAGACUACUGAACAAUUAAUCAAAUGGCCACCAGACUAUUACAUUGAACCCCCCCCGCCCAUUUUUUUUUUAUACCCUGCUGCUACUCGCUGUUUAUUAUCUAUGCAUAGUCACUUCACUCCUACCUACAUGUACAAAUUACCUCUAACCUGUUAUUGUUACUUUUUAUAAUUUUUUACUUUAGUUAAUUUGGUAAAUAUUUUCUUAACUCUUCUUGAACUGCACUGUUGGUUAAGGGUUUGUAAGUAAGCAAUUCAUGGUAAAGUCUACACUUGUUGUAUUCGGCGUAUGUGACAAAUAAAGUUUCAUUUGAUUUGAUUUGGUGGACAUUCCUGCAGUCAGAAUGCCAAUUGCACACUCCCUCAAAACUUGAGACAUCUGUGGCAUUGUGUUGUGUGACAAACCUAUACAUUUUAGUGUAUUUUUAUUGUCCUCGACACAAGGUUCAUCUGUGUAAUGACCAUGCUGUUUAAUCAGCUUCUUGAUAUACCACACCUGUCAGGUGGAUGGAUUAUUUUGGCAAAGGAGAAAUGCUCUCCUACAGGGAUGUAAACAAAUUUGUGCAUUUUUGAGAAAUAAGCUUUUUGUGCAUAUGGAACAUUUCUGGGAUCUUUUAUUUCAGCUUAUAAAACAUGGAACCAAUACUUUUUUUUCAGUAUUUAUGACUUCCGAUAUUAAUAAUUGGGAAAUUCAUUGAAAAUAUUGGUAAAAAUGAUUUGAAUAGGCUCAUCUCAGCACUGUGAAUUUGUAAGGGAAAACCUGGCCAUGCAUUCAAAUUUAUAAAAGGUAGCCUACUGUAUAUAAGGUAUCCUUUUCCGUUUUUUACUAUGCAUAAUUAUCAUACCAAAUUAGAAAUAUUGUAAGAAAAAGUGCAAGUUCUUUUUAACUUGAUAUAUUUUCACUUAUAAAUUAAAAUGAAAAGAAAAACAAAAAUUGUUGUCUGACACCUAGU